Molecule: transfer RNA, 87 nt
Filed under: Acidobacteriota bacterium
Lineage: Bacteria; Pseudomonadati; Acidobacteriota
Also listed under: 1 other name
Description: Acidobacteria bacterium tRNA-Leu
Rfam family: tRNA
About the family: Transfer RNA (tRNA) molecules are approximately 80 nucleotides in length.
Source: RNAcentral
GCCGGAGUGGCGGAACUGGCAGACGCGCCGGACUCAAAAUCCGGUGGCCGCAAGGCCGUGAAGGUUCAAUUCCUUUCUCCGGCACCA